GCCGGCGUGGCGAAAUCGGGUAAACGCGGAGACUUCACACAUCUCUGGGCUUCGGCCCUUCCCAGUUCGACUCUGGGCGCCGGCA
RNAcentral lists this transfer RNA (85 nucleotides) under Gemmatimonadota bacterium. Its description in RNAcentral is "tRNA-Val". Lineage: Bacteria; Pseudomonadati; Gemmatimonadota. The record is from RNAcentral.